GCUUAACGCGAAGAACCUUACCCAGGCUUGACAUCCCUGGAAGGUCUCCGAAAGGAGACUGUGCCUUCGGGAAUCAGGUGACAGGUGCUGCAUGGCCGUCGUCAGCUCGUGUCGUGAGAUGUUUGGUUAAGUUCAUUAACGAGCGCAACCCUUGUAAGUAGUUGAAUUUUUCUACUUAGACCGCCUCGGUAACGGGGAGGAAGGAGGGGAUGAUGUCAGGUCAGUAUUGCCCUUACGCCUGGGGCUACAAACACGCUACAAUGGCCGGUACAAAGGGCGGCCAACCCGUGAGGGGGAGCAAAUCCCAUCAAAACCGGUCCCAGUUCGGAUAGCAGGCUGAAAUUCGCCUGCUUGAAGUCGGAAUCGCUAGUAACGGUGAGUCAGCUAUAUUACCGUGAAUACGUUCCCGGGUCUUGUACACACCG
RNAcentral lists this ribosomal RNA (425 nucleotides) under uncultured bacterium. RNAcentral's name for it is "bacterial SSU rRNA". It matches the Rfam family "Bacterial small subunit ribosomal RNA", at positions 954 to 1392 of the family's 1533-position model. The record is from RNAcentral.